RNAcentral lists this non-coding RNA (27 nucleotides) under Homo sapiens (human). Lineage: Eukaryota; Metazoa; Chordata; Mammalia; Primates; Hominidae. The record is from RNAcentral.
UGCAACAAAUCACUACAAACUCCACGG